Molecule: long non-coding RNA, 980 nt
Filed under: Phoenix dactylifera (date palm)
Lineage: Eukaryota; Viridiplantae; Streptophyta; Magnoliopsida; Arecales; Arecaceae
Description: long non-coding RNA (PDAC_LNC006305)
Source: RNAcentral
UCCACAUAGGCUAUACAGCAAUCAAAUGUUUCUUGACCAGGGUAAUAAUUGGUCACAACCACAUUGCUACCACGGCAAACAUUUUAACAAACACAGCCACAAAGCCAUAUCUUGCCCCUAUCAAAUCUAAAGUCUCCUUACAAACAAUAAUUCCAUUGGCGAGGAAGGAGAUCUUACAAAAGUUUUUUGACAAAACUAUAUACUUGCGAUUUAGAAACAAAGAAUCAGUUUUUGGCCAUGAACUUUGUUAAACCUAAUGAUGCUUCCACGACCACGAUGACGCUUGUAGAAUCAUAAGGUUAACAGUACUGCUAUCAAUUUAGCAGGCAUCGGUCGCAUCCAGAGCCAAGACCGGUCGCUUUCUUUCCACAGCCCUCUCUCGAAAGCACGAGCGCACGUUCUCUCCUCCACCCUGGUGUCAGAGAGAGAGCGGAGAGCAGUAAAAGGCGCAAGCCCCGGUGGCCGUUGGCCCCCCUCUCUCUGCCGGCCGGAGGUCAGGAGCAAGUGACUGCUGCUGCGUCGCCCACGUGAGCCAGCACCGCGGUCACCCGUGCAACCACUCUUUUCUCUUUAGCCCUUUACGUGUUUGUAUUAAUGCCUGACAGAAGCGCUCCUUUUUGCCGCUGCUCGCUCACACCUUGCACGCUUCCGAGUUCCGACUGCUGCAACGCGGGCAAGGUUUUCUUUGCUGUUUUGUUGCCGUAAUGCUCGUAGAUGGGCAUCUUGCUGCGCGUGGGGUUGCAAGAAAUGGGGGCUCUGCCCAGGUGAGAAUCACAGGGUCUAUUUUUUUGUGUUGUUGGCUCGUUGUUGGAAGGUUAUGUUGUUGUUUAUUGGAAAGAGGAAGGAGAUGGGAUUCUCUCUCUCUCAAACCAUGGAUUUGUUUAAAUAAAAAUGUAAAAAUUUUCGGUAGUUGGUAGUUGGUGGUCCAUCGAGGUCAGCAAUUUGCCUUGAAAAAUGCUUGGUUAGGUUGGUUGCGUGGU